CUUCUCAAAGUGUACUUUUCAAAUAUGAGUUGGUAACUAUAGGGCAUUUGAGAGUGAUCAUUGUAAUUAUAGUAAUCAGAACUUUUCAGUUUAGUCAAGAAUCUGGACAAAGGAAUCAGUCAUAUCUGUACCUUCUGCAGUUCCAACAGCUUAUGUAAUGUACAUGAUUAGGCUUUGCCCACUUAGUGUUCAGUUCAUUCUUGUGAGACUCGUGGAAAAUUCAGAUUCUUCGGUGGGAUGUGAUGAACUGUGUAAGGGCAAAUGUUAAUUGGAGAAAGUGAAUGCUUAGCUUGAAUCGUUUUUGAAUUGCUUUGGAAACUCAUGUAUUUUUAAACUUGGUGUUUACUUGAACUGUUGGUAUUCAUUUAAGUAUUUACCCAUCACAUGAUAACUGCCUUCCAUCAGAUCCCAACUGUGAUUGGUAGCAGACAGAUAGACUUUAACUAACUCUUCUCUUGUUGCUUUUUUUCCCCCCUAAAUUUCUGGAAGACUAGAGAUAUAAAGCACUGUAUGUUUCUGUGAGAAUUUCA
Homo sapiens (human) is the source of this 530-nucleotide long non-coding RNA. The record is from Ensembl. NCBI's taxonomy places the organism in Eukaryota, Metazoa, Chordata, Mammalia, Primates, Hominidae.